AGUGAACGCUGGCGGUAGGCCUAACACAUGCAAGUCGAACGGCGGCACAGUAAGAGCUUGCUCUUACGGGUGGCGAGUGGCGGACGGGUGAGGAAUACAUCGGAAUCUACUUUUUCGUGGGGGAUAACGUAGGGAAACUUACGCUAAUACCUCAUACGACCUACGGGUGAAAGCAGGGGAUCUUCGGACCUUGCGCGAUUGAAUGAGCCGAUGUCGGAUUAGCUAGUUGGCGGGGUAAAGGCCAACCAAGGCGACGAUCCGUAGCUGGUCUGAGAGGAUGAUCAGCCACACUGGAACUGAGACACGGUCCAGACUCCUACGGGAGGCAGCAGUGGGGAAUAUUGGACAAUGGGCGCAAGCCUGAUCCAGCCAUACCGCGUGGGUGAAGAAGGCCUUCGGGUUGUAAAGCCCUUUUGUUGGGAAAGAAAAGCAGCAGGUUAAUACCCCACUGUUCUGACGGUACCCAAAGAAUAAGCACCGGCUAACUUCGUG
RNAcentral lists this ribosomal RNA (492 nucleotides) under uncultured bacterium. RNAcentral describes it as "partial 16S ribosomal RNA". It matches the Rfam family "Bacterial small subunit ribosomal RNA", at positions 29 to 507 of the family's 1533-position model. The record is from RNAcentral.